GUGACGAUAGCCUAGGAGAUACACCUGUACCCAUGCCGAACACAGCAGUUAAGCCCUAGAACGCCUGAAGUAGUUGGGGGUUGCCCCCUGUUAGAUACGGUAGUCGCUUAGC
RNAcentral lists this ribosomal RNA (112 nucleotides) under Streptococcus suis. Lineage: Bacteria; Bacillati; Bacillota; Bacilli; Lactobacillales; Streptococcaceae. The record is from RNAcentral.